CAAUAGCGUAUACUAAAGUUGUUGCAGUUAAAAAGCUCGUAGUUGAAUUUCUGGAUGUGAAAGGUGGUCGGCACCUCACGGUGUCUGCACCUACCAUUCGCGUCCAUCCUCGGGAGGAACAUGUGGACACUUUAGUGGGUCUGCAUGGGAAUCUCGUCAUUUACUGUGAGCAAAAUAGAGUGUUCAAAGCAGGCUUACGCCGUUGAAUAUAUUAGCAUGGAAUAAUAAGAUACGACUUUGGUCUAUUUUGUUGGUUUGCAUUCCAAAGUAAUGAUUAAUAGGGAAAGUUGGGGGUAUUCGUAUUCAAUUGUCAGAGGUGAAAUUCUUGGAUUUAUGGAAGACGAACUACUGCGAAAGCAUUUACCAAGGAUGUUUUCAUUA
Molecule: ribosomal RNA, 381 nt
Filed under: uncultured eukaryote
Lineage: Eukaryota
Description: partial 18S ribosomal RNA
Rfam family: Eukaryotic small subunit ribosomal RNA
Source: RNAcentral